Molecule: ribosomal RNA, 468 nt
Filed under: uncultured bacterium
Lineage: Bacteria
Description: partial 16S ribosomal RNA
Rfam family: Bacterial small subunit ribosomal RNA
Source: RNAcentral
GACGAACGCUGGCGGCGUGCUUAACACAUGCAAGUCGAACGGAAAGGCCCUGCUUUUGUGGGGUGCUCGAGUGGCGAACGGGUGAGUAACACGUGAGUAACCUGCCCUUGACUUUGGGAUAACUUCAGGAAACUGGGGCUAAUACCGGAUAGGAGCUCCUGCUGCAUGGUGGGGGUUGGAAAGUUUCGGCGGUUGGGGAUGGACUCGCGGCUUAUCAGCUUGUUGGUGGGGUAGUGGCUGACCAAGGGUUUGACGGGUAGCCGGCCUGAGAGGGUGACCGGCCACCUGGGGACUGAGAUACGGACCAGACGCCUACGUGAGGCAGCAGUGGGGAAUAUUGCACAAUGGGCGGAAGCCUGAUGCAGCAACGCCGCGUUCGGGAUGACGGCCUUCGGGUUGUAAACCGCUUUCGCCUGUGACGAAGCGUGAGUGACGGUAAUGGGUAAAAAAGCACCGGCUAACUACGUG